This 433-nucleotide ribosomal RNA is filed under the name uncultured bacterium. Its description in RNAcentral is "partial 16S ribosomal RNA". It matches the Rfam family "Bacterial small subunit ribosomal RNA", at positions 42 to 477 of the family's 1533-position model. The record is from RNAcentral.
UCAGGCNUAACACAUGCAAGUCGAGCGGAACCAUUGGAGCUUGCUCCAUUGGUUUAGGGNNUCNGGGUGAGUAACANGUGGGCAACCUGCCCUGCAGAUCGGGAUAGNUCCGGGAAACCGGUUAAUGGGAAAAUAGUUUGCGGCCUNUCANGAGGCUGCAGAAAAAGACGGUUUCGGNUGUCANUGCAGGAUGGGCCCGCGGCGCAUUAGNUAGUUGGUGAGGUAACGGCUCACCAAGGCCACGAGGUGUAGCCGACCCGAGAGGGUGAUCGGCCACANUGGGAAUGAGACGCUCCCCCGCCUCGUACGGGAGGCAGCAGUCGGGAUUNUUCCGCAAUCAGCGAAAGUGUNUCGGAGCAACGGCGCGUGAGCGAAAAAGGUUUUNGGAUCGUAAAAGUUUAUUGUGAGGGANGANCAAGUNCANUUAACUGUA